This 421-nucleotide long non-coding RNA is filed under the name Ananas comosus (pineapple). Its description in RNAcentral is "long non-coding RNA (ACOM_LNC003566)". The record is from RNAcentral. Lineage: Eukaryota; Viridiplantae; Streptophyta; Magnoliopsida; Poales; Bromeliaceae.
CUUCAUUAAUUGUAUAAAUUAAUUUCGUACAACUUGAUCGUAAAUAAUACAAACUAGUGUAGAGACCCGCGCGAUGCAGCGGGUAGAUAAUAGAAACAAAAUAUAAAAAGUUUAAUAAAAUUUAUAUUUAAAGCUUAUUGAUAUAUAGAAAGCUAUACCAUAUUAAACACAACAAAUUUGUAUGACUAAAUUCAACUCUUAAAAAAAUAAAAUUAUAGCUAAAACCCAAUAUAAUAUUAAUAUGGUGCAUGUAAUUAAAUGUUGCACCUUACAUGUAAUUAGAGGAGUGAGAAGGUGAAGGGUUGGAUGAUGAGAAUGAAAGAUAACAUGCCACGUGGCAAAAAGUAUUCUGACUUCAUAUAGAUUUAUAGAUUUAUAGAUUUAUAGAUGAUCACGGCCCAAUUAACACCUUGAAGAAAUU